GAUGAACGCUAGCGGGAGGCUUAACACAUGCAAGUCGAGGGGUAACAGGGGUAGCAAUACCUGCUGACGACCGGCGUACGGGUGAGUAACGCGUAUGCAACCUGCCCUAUACAGGAGGAUAGCCCGGAGAAAUUCGGAUUAAUACUCCAUGUAGCAUUUUUUUCGCAUGAAUUAGAUGUUAAAGAUUUAUCGGUAUAGGAUGGGCAUGCGUCCCAUUAGCUAGUUGGUGAGGUAACGGCUCACCAAGGCAUCGAUGGGUAUGGGGUCUUAAAGGAUGGUCCCACACACUGGCACUGAGACACGGGCCAGACUCCUACGGGAGGCAGCAGUGAGGAAUAUUGGUCAAUGGGUGACGAGCCUGAACCAGCCAUCCCGCGUGCAGGAUGACGGUCCUAGUGAUUGUAAACUGACUUUUCUAUGAGAUGAAUAAGAAUUACGUGUAGUUCGAUGACCGUAUUAUAGGAAUAACGCAUCGGACUAACUCCGUGCC
This 490-nucleotide ribosomal RNA is filed under the name uncultured bacterium. RNAcentral describes it as "bacterial SSU rRNA". It matches the Rfam family "Bacterial small subunit ribosomal RNA", at positions 28 to 509 of the family's 1533-position model. The record is from RNAcentral.